GGUGAAAUGGCCGAGCGGUCUAAGGCGUCACGUUCAGGUCGUGAUCUCUUCGGAGGCGUGGGUUCGAACCCCACUUUCAUCA
This is a non-coding RNA of Smittium simulii, 82 nucleotides long. The record is from the annotation of a GenBank genome assembly. NCBI's taxonomy places the organism in Eukaryota, Fungi, Kickxellomycota, Harpellomycetes, Harpellales, Legeriomycetaceae.